GUGGGGAAUAUUGGACAAUGGGCGCAAGCCUGAUCCAGCCAUGCCGCGUGAGUGAUGAAGGCCUUAGGGUUGUAAAGCUCUUUUGUCCGGGAAGAUAAUGACUGUACCGGAAGAAUAAGCCCCGGCUAACUUCGUGCCAGCAGCCGCGGUAAUACGAAGGGGGCUAGCGUUGCUCGGAAUCACUGGGCGUAAAGGGCGCGUAGGCGGACUCUUAAGUCGGGGGUGAAAGCCCAGGGCUCAACCCUGGAAUUGCCUUCGAUACUGAGAGUCUUGAGUUCGGAAGAGGUUGGUGGAACUGCGAGUGUAGAGGUGAAAUUCGUAGAUAUUCGCAAGAACACCAGUGGCGAAGGCGGCCAACUGGUCCGAUACUGACGCUGAGGCGCGAAAGCGUGGGGAGCAA
RNAcentral lists this ribosomal RNA (400 nucleotides) under uncultured Bradyrhizobiaceae bacterium. Its description in RNAcentral is "bacterial SSU rRNA". It matches the Rfam family "Bacterial small subunit ribosomal RNA", at positions 354 to 771 of the family's 1533-position model. Lineage: Bacteria; Pseudomonadati; Pseudomonadota; Alphaproteobacteria; Hyphomicrobiales; Nitrobacteraceae. The record is from RNAcentral.